GAUGAACGCUGGCGGCGUGCCUAGUACAUGCCAGUCGAGCGAACAGACGAGGAGCUUGCUCCUCUGACGUUAGCGGCGGACGGGUGAGUAGCACGUGGAUAACCUACCUAUAAGACUGGGAUAACUUCGGGAAACCGGAGCUAAUACCGGAUAAUAUAUUGAACCGCAUGGUUCAAUAGUGAAAGACGGUUUUGCUGUCACUUAUAGAUGGAUCCGCGCCGCAUUAGCUAGUUGGUAAGGUAACGGCUUACCAAGGCAACGAUGCGUAGCCGACCUGAGAGGGUGAUCGGCCACACUGGAACUGAGACACGGUCCAGACUCCUACGGGAGGCAGCAGUAGGGAAUCUUCCGCAAUGGGCGAAAGCCUGACGGAGCAACGCCGCGUGAGUGAUGAAGGUCUUCGGAUCGUAAAACUCUGUUAUUAGGGAAGAACAAAUGUGUAAGUAACUAUGCACGUCUUGACGGUACCUAAUCAGAAAGCCACGGCUAACUACGUG
This 497-nucleotide ribosomal RNA is filed under the name uncultured bacterium. RNAcentral describes it as "partial 16S ribosomal RNA". It matches the Rfam family "Bacterial small subunit ribosomal RNA", at positions 28 to 507 of the family's 1533-position model. The record is from RNAcentral.